This 510-nucleotide ribosomal RNA is filed under the name uncultured bacterium. RNAcentral describes it as "partial 16S ribosomal RNA". It matches the Rfam family "Bacterial small subunit ribosomal RNA", at positions 28 to 507 of the family's 1533-position model. The record is from RNAcentral.
GACGAACGCUGGCGGCGUGCUUAACACAUGCAAGUCGAACGAAGAGCGAUGGAAGCUUGCUUCUAUCAAUCUUAGUGGCGAACGGGUGAGUAACGCGUAAUCAACCUGCCCUUCAGAGGGGGACAACAGUUGGAAACGACUGCUAAUACCGCAUACGAUCUAAUCUCGGCAUCGAGGAUAGAUGAAAGGUGGCCUCUACAUGUAAGCUAUCACUGAAGGAGGGGAUUGCGUCUGAUUAGCUAGUUGGAGGGGUAACGGCCCACCAAGGCGAUGAUCAGUAGCCGGUCUGAGAGGAUGAACGGCCACAUUGGGACUGAGACACGGCCCAGACUCCUACGGGAGGCAGCAGUGGGGAAUCUUCCGCAAUGGACGAAAGUCUGACGGAGCAACGCCGCGUGAGUGAUGACGGCCUUCGGGUUGUAAAGCUCUGUUAAUCGGGACGAAAGGCUUUCUUGCGAAUAGUGAGAAGGAUUGACGGUACCGGAAGAGAAAGCCACGGCUAACUACGUG